This 561-nucleotide ribosomal RNA is filed under the name Candidatus Atelocyanobacterium thalassae. Its description in RNAcentral is "bacterial SSU rRNA". It matches the Rfam family "Bacterial small subunit ribosomal RNA", at positions 498 to 1056 of the family's 1533-position model. The record is from RNAcentral. Lineage: Bacteria; Bacillati; Cyanobacteriota; Cyanophyceae; Chroococcales; Aphanothecaceae.
UAGUCUGGUGCCAGCAGCCGCGGUAAUACGUAGGGGGCGAGCGUUGUCCGGAUUUAUUGGGCGUAAAGAGCUCGUAGGCGGUUCAACAAGUCGGUCGUAAAAGUUCAGGGCUCAACCCUGAAAUGUCGAUCGAUACUGUUGUGACUAGGAUACGGUAGAGGUGAGUGGAAUUCCGAGUGUAGCGGUGAAAUGCGUAGAUAUUCGGAGGAACACCAAUUGCGAAGGCAGCUCACUGGGCCGCUAUCGACGCUGAGGAGCGAAAGCUAGGGGAGCAAACAGGAUUAGAUACCCUGGUAGUCCUAGCUGUAAACGAUGGAUACUAGACGUAGGAACUGGAUUGACGGUUUCUGUGUCGUAGCUAACGCGUUAAGUAUCCCGCCUGGGGAGUACGGUCGCAAGACUAAAACUCAAAGGAAUUGACGGGACCCCGCACAAGCGGCGGAGCAUGCGGCUUAAUUCGAUGAUACCCGUAGAACCUUACCUGGACUUGACAUGCAAGGGUCUAGCUAUAGAGAUAUAGUGUGCAUUAGCGCCCUUCACAGGUGGUGCAUGGCCGUUCUU